This 492-nucleotide ribosomal RNA is filed under the name uncultured bacterium. RNAcentral describes it as "partial 16S ribosomal RNA". It matches the Rfam family "Bacterial small subunit ribosomal RNA", at positions 29 to 507 of the family's 1533-position model. The record is from RNAcentral.
AGCGAACGCUGGCGGCAUGCCUAACACAUGCCAGUCGAACGUCAGCAGAGUAAGUGCUAACUCUUGCGGCUUGCGAGUGAGUGACGCGUGAGGAAUCUAUCCGAGUCUCUUUAUUAGCGGGGCAUAACGCUGGCAAACUCAGGCUAAAACGACAUACUACCUACGUGUGUUUUCAGGGGAACGUCGCAUGUUGAGCGGCCGUAUUUCUGGAGGUCGGAUGCGCCCGUUGGGGGGGUAAAGGCCCACCAAGCUGACGAACGGUAGCUGGUCUGAGAGGAUGAUCAGCCUCACUGGAACUGAGACACGGUCCAGACUCCUACGGGAGGCAGCAGUGGGGAAUAUUGGACAAUGGGCGCAAGCCUGAUCCAGCCAUACCGCGUGGGUGAAGAAGGCCUUCGGGUUGUAAAGCCCUUUUGUUGGGAAAGAAAAGCAGCAGGUUAAUACCCCGCUGUUCUGACGGUACCCAAAGAAUAAGCACCGGCUAACUUCGUG